GAGGGCUGCUCAGCUAGGGUGGUUAAAACUACAGAUUUGGCAGGUGUUUGAACUUUUAAACAAAGGGUCCAUGGGGAGUGGCUGAGCCUUUCUAUUUGUACUUGUGGCCUGCUGACAGUCAACAUUCCUCCCCUACCAUGUGCCAGCUCCAGAAGGCCAAGUGCACACAUUGCAAUAUACCAAAAGAUGUUCUUUUCCUGCCUCUUACAAAGCAACUGAGCACAGCAUGGACGGGGGUGUGAACCUAAACCAAUUGAAGAUGUUCCAAGAAGAGUGAGCUUAUUUUUCACCUACUUCAAAAAUCAUCAGAACAGUUUAACUAUGGACGAGCAUGGACUUCCAGCAGAUUCCUAUGUCUGUGUGUGAAAUCUGAGAGCUUCUGCCUCCCUAAAGAACACUCACAGAACAAGUUACUUCCAGUCUAAGGUUUUACUGUGUAUUUUAAGAUUGCCAGACCUGAGGACUCCUGGUAAGAAUUAUUGCAGCCAUUGUUUCUGGGAAGGGAGAGGAAGCUUCUUGACUGGUUCCCUUUGCUCUUCAUCACCUGCCUUUGGUUCAGGAUCUGCAGUAGGAGGAACAGAAGAUCCCACACAACUUACUUUAACAAAAAAAAAAAAGAG
Molecule: long non-coding RNA, 620 nt
Filed under: Felis catus (domestic cat)
Lineage: Eukaryota; Metazoa; Chordata; Mammalia; Carnivora; Felidae
Description: lncRNA (ENSFCAG00000050838.1)
Source: RNAcentral